Molecule: ribosomal RNA, 379 nt
Filed under: uncultured bacterium
Lineage: Bacteria
Description: bacterial SSU rRNA
Rfam family: Bacterial small subunit ribosomal RNA
Source: RNAcentral
GUAGUCCACGCCGUAAACGUUGGGAACUAGAUGUGGGGGCCAUUCCACGGCUUCCGUGUCGCAGCUAACGCAUUAAGUUCCCCGCCUGGGGAGUACGGCCGCAAGGCUAAAACUCAAAGGAAUUGACGGGGGCCCGCACAAGCGGCGGAGCAUGCGGAUUAAUUCGAUGCAACGCGAAGAACCUUACCAAGGCUUGACAUAUACGAGAACGCUUCAGAAAUGAAGAACUCUUUGGACACUCGUAUACAGGUGGUGCAUGGUUGUCGUCAGCUCGUGUCGUGAGAUGUUGGGUUAAGUCCCGCAACGAGCGCAACCCUCGUUCUAUGUUGCCAGCACGUAAAGGUGGGAACUCAUAGGAGACUGCCGGGGUCAACUCGGA